GGCGGAAGAGGCCACACUAGCGAGAAAGUGAUUAUGAGAAACAUGCAGAAAACAAGAGCACAUCCUCAUAGUCACAUAGAAAAUGAGGUGAGGGGAAGAAAUCUUCAUGAAACCGUCUCAAGGUAUAUUUAAACGUGGCUCCCUGCAGGCCACCCAUUCUUUGUCCCAGUUAAUUCAUAUACGAGAGAGGUUUUACUUCAGAGAGAUUGCCAAUGGAAAAAAUGUGAACGAAACACCCGCAUGGAUGGCCCACGGUGAGGCGUCUCUGAUCGCUAUCAAACAGGGAGGGGCAGAAAUCCUUGCACUAAAAAGUGUGGGCUGCUUUACCACAAAUAAGAUCAGGGACUGGGCAUGAGGCAGUAUUGGUCACAGCCCCGUUGGUGCUGGAGAGAGGUUCGCUGGCCUUGGGAGCUUCACUCAUGACCGGUGAGCUGUGUGCCCAGAGACGACGCCGAGGUCCUCAUGUCUUAUUUCCGCAGCAUCCAGUUAUUCAGAGGGCGUGUGUGCAGAAUGAGAAGGAGGUGGCGCACCGGCUACAAGGCUAGACCGGGGGCUCGCAUAUCUCCACUUGCAGCUGCCACUGCCAUUAGAAGAACUUGCUCAGCCAGCUCCUGGGCCCCAGGAAAAGGACAAGUGUCACCCAGAACAGAGCCACCUCCAGCUGCACUCAGCUCCAGAAGCUGGCCCAGCCGGUCCAGUACACCUUUUAAAUAAUGUCCUCUACGUGCCGGUGUGGAAGUAGCCCGGAUGCAAUUGAAUGAACAACAGACGGUGCUUUCCAGGACGGCGCUGUGCUUUCCAGGAUGGUGCUGUGCUUUCAUUCAUUUGGGUAGCUCCUCUGUGAGCCUCCCAGCGCCGACUGCAGAGCCCCCACUCUCCAGCCUGCAAGACCCCGAAAUUCAAGCCACACAAAGAAAGGAGGAGGGGGCCGUUGGCAUUUACUGAACCUUAUAAAACUGUCAGCAAAACAGCCCUUAGGCUUGGACUCCCUGCUAGCCGGGUUUUACGGUGCUGAAGUCAGCAUCUUGAUUCAGCUGCAUAAAUAAUCUCCUGCAGUCCUGCAAGGCCUGGGGUAGGAGAGGGUAUGGGGACCAGGGCACUCUGUAAGGGCUGGGAUAGGAACCCCAGGGAAUAAGACAGACCAACUGCGGGACUUCAGACUCCACUGCAGCCGGGAUCGGGUUGUUGUUAAUUUCUUAAGCAAUUUCUAAAUUCUGUAUUGACUCUCUCAUGCAUGUAACUGAUCCUUAGAUAUUGUCAGCCAAAUGACUAAAGGAUUUAGAAAUCUGA
Long non-coding RNA from Homo sapiens (human), 1290 nucleotides. Ensembl annotates it as lncRNA in non-homologous end joining pathway 1. Its record names the gene LINP1. The record is from Ensembl. NCBI's taxonomy places the organism in Eukaryota, Metazoa, Chordata, Mammalia, Primates, Hominidae.